UGGGGAAUUUUGCACAAUGGGCGCAAGCCUGAUGCAGCGACGCCGCGUGAGGGAUGAAGGCCUUCGGGUUGUAAACCUUUUUCGCUCAUGGUCAAGCCGCAGCUUUGGGUUGUGGUGAGGGUAGUGGGUAAAGAAGCGCCGGCUAACUACGUGCCAGCAGCCGCGGUAAUACGUAGGGCGCGAGCGUUGUCCGGAAUUAUUGGGCGUAAAGGGCUUGUAGGCGGUUGGCCGCGUCUGCCGUGAAAUCCUCUGGCUUAACUGGGGGCGUGCGUUGGGUACGGGUUGACUUGAGUGCGGUAGGGGAGACUGGAAUUCCUGGUGUAGCGGUGAAAUGCGCAGAUAUCAGGAGGAACACCGGUGGCGAAGGCGGGUCUCUGGGCCGUUACUGACGCUGAGGAGCGAAAGCGGGGGGAGCGAACAGG
This 422-nucleotide ribosomal RNA is filed under the name Verrucomicrobiota bacterium. RNAcentral's name for it is "Verrucomicrobia bacterium partial 16S ribosomal RNA". It matches the Rfam family "Bacterial small subunit ribosomal RNA", at positions 355 to 776 of the family's 1533-position model. The record is from RNAcentral. Lineage: Bacteria; Pseudomonadati; Verrucomicrobiota.